AUUGAACGCUGGCGGCAGGCCUAACACAUGCAAGUCGAGCGGAUGAAGGGAGCUUGCUCCUGGAUUCAGCGGCGGACGGGUGAGUAAUGCCUAGGAAUCUGCCUGGUAGUGGGGAUAACGUCCGGAAACGGGCGCUAAUACCGCAUACGUCCUGAGGGAGGAAGUGGGGGAUCUUCGGACCUCACGCUAUCAGAUGAGCCUAGGUCGGAUUAGCUAGUUGGUGGGGUAAAGGCCUACCAAGGCGACGAUCCGUAACUGGUCUGAGAGGAUGGUCAGUCACACUGGAACUGAGACACGGUCCAGACUCCUACGGGAGGCAGCAGUGGGGAAUAUUGGACAAUGGGCGAAAGCCUGAUCCAGCCAUGCCGCGUGUGUGAAGAAGGUCUUCGGAUUGUAAAGCACUUUAAGUUGGGAGGAAGGGCAGUAAGUUAAUACCUUGCUGUUUUGACGUUACCAACAGAAUAAGCACCGGCUAACUUCGUG
RNAcentral lists this ribosomal RNA (483 nucleotides) under uncultured bacterium. RNAcentral's name for it is "partial 16S ribosomal RNA". It matches the Rfam family "Bacterial small subunit ribosomal RNA", at positions 30 to 507 of the family's 1533-position model. The record is from RNAcentral.